RNAcentral lists this ribosomal RNA (254 nucleotides) under uncultured bacterium. RNAcentral describes it as "partial 16S ribosomal RNA". It matches the Rfam family "Bacterial small subunit ribosomal RNA", at positions 524 to 776 of the family's 1533-position model. The record is from RNAcentral.
UACGUAGGCACCAAGCGUUGUCCGGAUUUAUUGGGCGUAAAGAGCUCGUAGGCGGUUCGGUAAGUCGGGUGUGAAAACUCUGGGCUCAACCCAGAGAGGCCACCCGAUACUGCCGUGACUGGAGUGCGGUAGGGGAGUGGGGAAUUCCUGGUGUAGCGGUGAAAUGCGCAGAUAUCAGGAGGAACACCGGUGGCGAAGGCGGAUCUCUGGGCCGAUACUGACGCUGAGGAGCGAAAGCGUGGGGAGCGAACAGG